Long non-coding RNA from Canis lupus familiaris (dog), 978 nucleotides. RefSeq lists it as uncharacterized. The transcript has 3 exons. NCBI's taxonomy places the organism in Eukaryota, Metazoa, Chordata, Mammalia, Carnivora, Canidae. The record is from RefSeq and is a predicted model, not a curated record.
ACCACCCACCACAAUGGCCAGAUUCUCAGCCAGGGCUCGAUUCCUACUGUGCUCUUUAUUUUUGCAAGCUGCUGCUGCUGAAGGCGCAGAUGAAUGUACGAAGGGAAAUGAUGAGCUUUGACUCCUAGUGCCUGGACAGCUGACAUUCAGCAAUCUACCUUAUUUUUCUUAAACUUGGCAAAGAUGCCCAGGUCUGUCAGUCAUCAGCUCCUGGAUGGCAGCCAGAGGGUCAACUCCUCCUGGCAAAGUGGAGGAGCAGGUGACAGGUACUACAAGGAAAGGUAAGAAAUCAGCUAGUUAUGAGGAUUUGUCAGAACCCGUGGACAGCCACCGGGAUCUGUCCCUGCUGCAAGUCACAUACGUAUAACGGGAUACAUUAAAACUCUGACACCCUGCUGCCACUCCAAGACAACUUUGAGAAAGUUUCUCUCUCUUUAACUUGUAAAAUGUGUUUAUGCAUCCCACAUACAGAGAGCCAGGCACUGCGCCAGGAGCCGAGAAGAGAUAAUCACCAAGUCCCACUUUGGAGGAGCACCCAAAAUGAUGUCAUCGGUGCCUCAGUAAAGGUCACCACAGGAUGCCAUGGAAACCCCUAGGAGGAGCCCCCAAUCUAGAUGAGAGGGCCAAGGAUAGGGAGGGAGAGGAGGAGAUGAGUCUCCCUCAUCUUCAGGGAGAGGAGGAGAUGCUACUGGAAGGAAGGAGCCAGGCAGGUGCAAUAAAGAAGGCAUGUUUUUGUUGUGGUCUGCGGCUGUGACAUCAUUUCCCGUGCUCUGACUGGUAUUAGUUGUGGCUGAACCAACUCACUCCCGGGUCAGGAGAGAGAGAAGUUGAGUGGAAUAAGCUGUGUGCCAGAGACCAGGCCACUCCACCUGGCUCUGCUGCUCGCCCCACCAGGACUUGAGAUGCCUAAUCUCUCAGAUGUAUCUUGCAAGAAGUUGCUGUGGCCAAGUUCAAAAGGUUGCCUGUGUUCUCCUCUAG